CUAUAGCUGAUCUGAGAGGAUGAUCAGCCACACUGGAACUGAGAUACGGUCCAGACUUCUACGGGAGGCAGCAGUGGGGAAUAUUGGACAAUGGGCGAAAGCCUGAUCCAGCCAUGUCGCAUGAGUGAAGAAGGCCCUUGGGUUGUAAAGCUCUUUUAGUGAGGAAGAUAAUGACGGUACUCACAGAAGAAGUCCUGGCUAACUCCGUGCCAGCAGCCGCGGUAAUACGGAGAGGGCUAGCGUUAUUCGGAAUUAUUGGGCGUAAAGGGCGCGUAGGCUGAUUAAUAAGUUAAAAGUGAAAUCCCGAGGCUUAACCUUGGAAUUGCUUUUAAAACUAUUAAUCUAGAGAUUGAAAGAGGAUAGAGGAAUUCCUGAUGUAGAGGUAAAAUUCGUAAAUAUUAGGAGGAACACCAGUGGCGAAGGCGUCUAUCUGGUUCAAAUCUGACGCUGAGGCGCGAAGGCGUGGGGAGCAAACAGGAUUAGAUACCCUGGUAGUCCACGCUGUAAACGAUGAAUGUUAAAUAUGGGAAGUUUACUUUCUGUAUUACAGCUAACGCGUUAAACAUUCCGCCUGGGGACUACGGUCGCAAGAUUAAAACUCAAAGGAAUUGACGGGGACCCGCACAAGCGGUGGAGCAUGUGGUUUAAUUCGAUGCAACGCGAAAAACCUUACCACUUCUUGACAUGGAAAUCAUACCUAUUCGAAGGGAUAGGGUCGGUUCGGCCGGAUUUUACACAGGUGUUGCAUGGCUGUCGUCAGCUCGUGUCGUGAGAUGUUGGGUUAAGUCCCGCAACGAGCGCAACCCUCAUCCUUAGUUGCCAUCAGGUAAUGCUGAGCACUUUAAGGAAACUGCCAGUGAUAAGCUGGAGGAAGAUGGGGAUGAUGUCAAGUCAUCAUGGCCUUUAUGAAGUGGGCUACACACGUGCUACAAUGGUGUCUACAGUGGGCUGCAAGGUGCGCAAGCCUAGGCUAAUCCCUAAAAGACAUCUCAGUUCGGAUUGUACUCUGCAACUCGAGUGCAUGAAGUUGGAAUCGCUAGUAAUCGUGGAUCAGCAUGCCACGGUGAAUACGUUCUCGGGUCUUGUACACACUGCCCGUCACGCCAUGGGAAUUGGUUUCACUCGAAGCU
Molecule: ribosomal RNA, 1130 nt
Filed under: Wolbachia pipientis
Lineage: Bacteria; Pseudomonadati; Pseudomonadota; Alphaproteobacteria; Rickettsiales; Anaplasmataceae
Description: bacterial SSU rRNA
Rfam family: Bacterial small subunit ribosomal RNA
Source: RNAcentral